GUGCCAGACUCCUACGGGAGGCAGCAGUGGGGAAUAUUGCACAAUGGGGGGAACCCUGAUGCAGCGACGCCGCGUGGGUGAAGGAGCACCUCGGUGCGUAAAGCCCUAUCGGCAGGGAAGAAACAGACGGUACCUGACUAAGAAGCCCCGGCUAACUACGUGCCAGCAGCCGCGGUAAUACGUAGGGGGCAAGCGUUAUCCGGAUUCACUGGGUGUAAAGGGAGCGUAGACGGCAGUGCAAGUCCGGAGUGAAAGCCCGGGGCUCAACCCUGGGACUGCUCUGGAAACUGUAAAGCUGGAGUGCGGGAGGGGCAGGCGGAAUUCCUGGUGUAGCGGUGAAAUGCGUAGAUAUCAGGAGGAACACCGGCGGCGAAGGCGGCCUGCUGGACCGUAACUGACGUUGAGGCUCGAAAGCGUGGGGAGCAAACAGGAUUAGAUACCCCGGUAC
Molecule: ribosomal RNA, 448 nt
Filed under: uncultured bacterium
Lineage: Bacteria
Description: bacterial SSU rRNA
Rfam family: Bacterial small subunit ribosomal RNA
Source: RNAcentral